RNAcentral lists this transfer RNA (71 nucleotides) under Candidatus Berkelbacteria bacterium CG_4_10_14_0_8_um_filter_42_34. RNAcentral's name for it is "tRNA-Ala". It matches the Rfam family "tRNA". From Rfam's summary of the family: Transfer RNA (tRNA) molecules are approximately 80 nucleotides in length. Their secondary structure includes four short double-helical elements and three loops (D, anti-codon, and T loops). Further hydrogen bonds mediate the characteristic L-shaped molecular structure. tRNAs have two regions of fundamental functional importance: the anti-codon, which is responsible for specific mRNA codon recognition, and the 3' end, to which the tRNAs corresponding amino acid is attached (by aminoacyl-tRNA synthetases). tRNAs cope with the degeneracy of the genetic code in two manners: having more than one tRNA (with a specific anti-codon) for a particular amino acid; and 'wobble' base-pairing, i.e. permitting non-standard base-pairing at the 3rd anti-codon position. The record is from RNAcentral. Lineage: Bacteria; Candidatus Berkelbacteria.
GGGCCUAUAGUUUAGUGGCAAAAUAAGUCGAUGGCAUCGACUAGUCGGCAGUUCAAUUCUGCCUAGGUCCA